CCAAACCAUUCAAGUUUUUUAGAAGCCCAGGUUUUCUCCCAAAAAAAAACUGCUUCAAGUUAUAGUUCAUGCAAACUGCAAUAGUUCAACACAGAAAAGAAAAAUAUGGUGAAAGUGAGAAACAAAAGAUCUAAUGUGGGUGGAAAUCAUGUCUUGGAGGGUGAUUCAGUAGAGCUAGCACCAGGGAUAUCUUUUCCUGAUUGCGACGAAAGUGCCUCUAGUGUCUUGUGAAAUUCUGUAGGGAGAGGAGGUGGUCGGUGGAGAGGAACAUGCUUAGGAACAGGUGCAUCAUUCUCAAUCACCUCACAUUCAUAGUCAUCAGGAACACCCCACGGAUCCCACUCUGCACUCCAAAAUAUACAUUCAAUAUACGUCAAUCAUAUUUCUAAUCAAUUGAUGCAAAAACAUUUCAAUAUAUGUUCAGUUCUAAAAUUGGUCUCUAUAUGUAAUAAAAAAAAAAGACUCAAUAAAUUGAUCCUUUUUAAAUUUAAACAUUAUCAAUUUAGUCUCUGUCACAGUUAAUACAAUUACGAAUUCUUAUUUUGGUGCUUAUGCAUGCAGUACGUUGUUAAUUUGGUUGUUAAACGGGCAUAGCAUUCUUAAUUUGGUUCUUAUGUGUGUAACACAUUCUUAAUUUGAUCCUUUGCAUGUAAAAACUAUAUUAAGAAUUCGUUAAAUGUAAUGAGACCAAAUAAAGAAUGUAUUACAUGUAUAAGAGUAAAAUUAAAAUACUUAAAGGAGCUGACGGGAGCUAUAAGAUUGGUUUAGUAGUAAAAGUUGGAAUGAAGAGUGAAAGAGGUUGUGGGUUCAACUCUGCACUAACAUUUAAAAAUAUAAGAUUGGUUUAAAGGCUUUAGAAAGAAAGGUAAAAAAAAGUUGUGGGUUCAACUCUUUUACUAACAAAAUACUAACAUCUAAGAUGUCGAUAAAAAAAAAUAAAAAAAAAACACACACACAAGGGAGCUGAUGAAAAAAAAAAUACAUAAGGUUGUUAACUGUGUCAAACAGUGACCAAAUCCUUAAUAAGAGUGAAAACAAUGUUGUUGACAGGAUUUCAAAAGAAUUAUAAUUUUUUAAUAUUCCAUAGAGAAAGUUUUAGUUCAAUGUCUAGUUUAAGUAAAAAUAAUGAAACUUGAAAUGGCAAGUUACUUGUUAAAUAGUGAGAAUGAUUAUCAAGCAGCAAAAAUUUGGAGAUGCACAAAAAACAUAGAUUUGCAUUAAAGCAAGGAAGAGUCAAAGUUCAAAUUAUUGUCAAGAAAUAACAAAUAACUUGUGAACUAGGCUGCAUCUGUGAUAAAAGGAAAAGACAACAACUACCAAAUUCAAAAUGUGAACAAAACUCAACUGGAUUAGCAAAAUUAAAAGUACCCUAUCCAAGGUAAAACCCCCAUUCACAUAUGCAGUAUAGACAUCAUGGGAGCCCAACAAGUUUAUGGGCUGAAAAAGCCAUUGGUCCAUGAGGCGCAUAUGACACCUAAGGUAUGGAAGGUUUAAGUGCGGAUGUGCGCAAAAGAAAAAAGGGAAACCGAGAAGCUGAGGUUGCAUGAGUAAGUGGAGAGAUUGGUAGAGGGGAGAGUAUUUUCCAUGGUUAUCAAACUCUCAAGUUAACUCGUAAACUCAUCGAGUUCCCAGACAUGGCUUCCUUCCGAGUUAACUCGGAAGUAAACUCAUUUUCUGCGUAAACUCGAUAGAAUCAACUGUGAAAUCUGUAAGAUCGUGUAAAAUUAAGAGUUUGGAACAAUUCUGCGAGCUUAAGUUAUAUAUUUAAUGAAAUGCAUCAAAAUUAAUGACAAUAAUCUAAGUAUUUAUGUUUUACAAUAUUAAUCUUUAUGAACAAUAUAACUAUAAAUUUUAUUUAUUUAAAGUUAUAUAAUUUUUUAGACUUAUUUGAAUUAAGAUAUUAUUUAUAUAAUUUUUUUCAUCUGAAGUAAACUUUUACGAGUUUACGAGUCGAAUUUACUCAACUCUCACGAGUUUAUGUAAACUUUCGAAUUUGAUAACCUUGGUAUUUUCUGUUAUUUAGUCUGAUGAGGCAAAAGGGGAGGGGGAUUAGGUGAUUGUCUGUUAUAGGAGCUAUGCCAUGGGCAAAUGGAGGUUUCCUCCUAUUGUAGUUUCAUUUUCAUUGCAAAUAACAUACAAUUCACCGUGCCCUCAUUUUCUCUGUUCUCUUUUAUCACUAUUGUUUGGCUUGUAACAAUUUUUGGCCCAACCUACUGGAUCAUUCAAUAAUCUCGGUGAAUACCCAGGAAGAGAAAGAAAAGAGGAAUGAGGCAGAUUGUGUAAUCAACAUUAUCUAUAGAAGAGGACAAAAUACAAAAGAUCAUGGAAGCACAUGUUGAACAAGUAGAAGACGAGAUUUGACGGAUAAGAAUGGCUAUGGAAUCUUUAUGGCACCAAACACCCUCCAAUUAGUUAACAGCUGAAGCUCUACGAUGAGAUAAUGCUGAGGCACAAAAAUAAAAGCACCAGCUCUGGUUUGAAAUCCCUUCAAGAUAAUGCCCUCGAUGAAUUUAGACAAUGAGUGAAGAAGAUUGAAUUACCAAUGUUCAACCAUGCAAGAGGUAACAAUUCUCUUGAUUAUGACCCAUCCUUUUACAUUAUGUGCAUUGGGGUGUCUUCCUCCUCUAGUUAUCAUGAUUAUAUUGUGUCUAGGGUUACUCUAAUUGUCAUAAUUAUAUUGUGUCUAGGAUUACUCUAAUUAUCAUGUACUCUUGUAUCAAUUUAUUCUUAUAAAUAGAAGAUUAUGAGAGAGAUCAAUCAAACCCUCUAGAAUUAUUUUACAAUUUAAUUCUCAAGUGUAUUGAAGUGGUAUAGUCAAAAGAAAGUGUUAUCAUUUCACAAAGGAAAUAUGCUCUUGAUAUUUUAGAAGAAACAGGCCUAACAAAUUGCAAGCCCAUUGAUAGUCCUAUGGACUCAAAUCAAAAGUUAAUGAGAGAUCAAAGUGAACCUUUCUCACACCCAGAGAGAUAUAGAAAGCUGGUUCGAAAACUCAUCUAUCUUACCAUAACAACACCUGAUCUUUCUUAUCCGGUGGGUGGGAGUUGUGAGUCAAUUUAUGCAAAAUCCACAUGUUGAGUAUUGGAAUACAGUGAUUCACAUCCUUAGAUAUGUAAAAGGAAACCCAUGACAAGGAUUGUUAUAUGAGAAAAAGGGAAGCACUCGAAUCGAAGGAUAUUCUGAUGCAGAUUGGGUAGGUUUUCCAAUUGAUCAAAGAUCUACAGGAUAUUGUGUUUUACUUGGAGGGAACCGAGUAUCUUGGAAAAGUAAAAGACAGAGUGUUGUUGCUCGAUCUAGUGCUGAAGUUAAAUAUUGAUCUAGGACUUUAACUACAUGCGAACUUGUGUGGAUAUGACAACUUCUUCAAGAAUUAAAAUUUGUGAAAAUGAGCACCUGAAAUUGUACUGUGACAACCAAGCAGCCCUUGAUAUUGCCUACAAUCUAGUGUUUCAUGAGAAAACAAAACACACAGAAAUUCACUGUCAUUUUAUUAAAGAGAAGUUGUUAUCCAAAGAACUUGUUACUGAGUUUGUCAACUCUAAUGAACAACUCAGUCAGUUUAUUAAAGAGAAGUUGUUAUCCAAAGAACUUGUUACUGAGUUUGUCAACUCUAAUGAACAACUCAGAGACAUUGUGACCAAAUCUAAGGGGGCCUAGAAUUCAAUUUAUAUGUUCCAAACUUGGUGCAUAUGAUCUAUAUGUUCCAGCUUGAGGAGAAGUGUUGAAAUGUAAUGUAUUUUUCUAGUAAGCUUUUUAGGAGCCCUCUGUUUUUCCUUUGUAUGUUGAACUACUAUCCCUUAUAAAUAGGGUAGUAUGAUGUAUUAGGUUAAGAGAGAACAGUAAUAAUAAAAUUUUAGUUUCUCUCCCAACUCUUUAAGUGUUUGUAACACACAAGUUGACAAACAGCACUAAAAUUACAACCCAUAAGUUGUUCCAGACCAAGUUGUCACACCAAGACAUACAAAAAAAAUUUGCAACAAAAUAAUCAUGAUUCAAAUCUCGAUUCAAUAACCAUGUACAAAAUAAUCAAGACUAACUACCACCAAAAUUUGUAGGCUAUAAACUCUUGGACAAAUCUUAACUGAAAUAUAUUCAGGACCAUCAAGACUAAUAUUGACCGAGCUGCAUUAUAUAUUAAAUACUCUUACUUUACAACCUGACCAGGCAAUAUAGGCAAUAAAAUGAUUUUUUAUACAACAGAUGUUGAAAUGACAAUGAUUGGUUGUUAAUUAUCAUUUACCAAUACUACAAAUGCUGAAGCCUCACAUAAAUAGGUAAAAGGCUAACAGGGGAUAUAGUGACCCUAUAAUAUAUCUUAAUGGGAUAAGUAAAUCAGGAGAUGAAAUGUACAUGCAACUUUGUUCCACACGAUAAUUUGACUCAUCCACUUUUUAACACAAAAUCAACUGAAAAUUGAAAUCAAUGUCUAACGACACUUCAAAUGUUUAUAUGAAACUAGAGGAUUGUUUUUCCUUAUUUCAAGUAUAUUCAUUCUUUGCAAUCAAUAACUAAUUAUUCUUACACAGUAAUGAAACUUAGUGCAACUUCCUAGGAAAAAAAAUCUUAGCUAAGGUAAAGUAUCUUCCACUUAUCACUACUCUACCCGAUACAAUAUAUAUGUAUUAUGAAUUUAAGUAUUACCCAUGACUUUGGUGGGAUUUUUCCAAUAUUGGUGCAAUUUGGAAACAUAAUUACCAAAAUGGGCAAAUUUUUUAAAAUUUAUGAAGGUACCCAUCUUUGUAAUUUUUAAAAAAUUUAACCAUUACGAUAAUUUCAUUUCCAAAUUGCAAAAGAUUGGUAAAAUUGCCAACUUUGGCAUUGUACAGAUAUUUAUAAAUAUUGUCCAUAAUAGGUACAGAUUGUGGAUAAAAAAAUGGAAUGCACACAAGAUGUAACUACACAUUCAUAGUUUGAACGACAAAAUUGUCAUGGGCAGUGAAAAGUAAGAAAACUGACCAUAGUUAUAAUGAGGAAGUGAUUGCAGAACAAUUGCCAGGCUUGAAAAUUGCAUGACAAGGAGGAUAUAUAUAUUAAGAGGAGUUUUGCUCCCCUUCAUUUAGUUCAAACUCCUAUAGGCCUGGGAGAGAGUCUAAUGUAUAGUAUAGACGCCUUUGAAAGAGCUAUGUUAUGGAAUUUUGCUUAUUUAUAUGUUGGUGAUAAACGUGACUGAUGGAGAACUAACUGGCUUUCAUAUUGCAUUUAGUAUCUUUAUCGUAGCUCUGACUCAAUCCAAAAUGUUUGAGCAGGAUAGCAAAAUACAGCACAAUUACUGUUAAAAUGUCACUGAUGAUAAUGUUUGAACAAGUAUUUGAAACUCUGUAAAGUAACGUAAAGGUUUUAACACAAGAUAAAGAUCCUAAUCUGGAAAUGUGAGAAUAAUACAGGUCCAAAGGAUUUAGCAUAGCCAUACUCUUAUCACAACAGUCAACAACAGCCCUAGAUGAGCUGCUAGCGGUCACUUCACAGAACCAAAGUUUUAACUAAACCUAAAAACAUCAUCCUGUGUACGACCACAUUUGCUACCGCUACCGCAUAAGCCCCAUGUGUAGCAAUUAUAUGCAAUAUCAAGGAUCACAACGAAAUUAAAAUUGCCAAUUAAAACAUACAACUAACAUUCAAAAGUCGAACCCAGACUACUCUACCAUCGAAUUAAUUGAUUUCACAACCCACAGAGGAUCAUCCAACAAACCACUCAGCACGAAAUUCAUAAUAAACUAAUAUUUAAAUUAAAGAAAAUAAGAAGAAGCAAUGGAGAAUACCGAUCAUGUAGGAAAUGAGCUUGAGCUCAUCCUGAGCCUCUUCGAUGAGUUCCUCGACCUGGCCGCAACCAAGCCGUUUCUCGAUGGCUUCCCAGUCCUCCUCCUCUUUGCACACGCUCAGCCGGUGUUUCGUGAAGCUCUCCACCGCCUUGCGGUAACCCUCGUCUUCUGGAACCUUCUGGAUCUCCUUCAGCGUCUUGCUGUAGAGUCCGAUCAGCACCUCCCUCGCGUUCGGCACCACCUCCAACCCCACGAUCCCCGUCGAAGCCUUAACCUUCGCCAUCAACGGCCGCGCCACCGCUCGUAGAAACAUCUUCCCUUCCGAUCUCACUCUCCGCAAUGUCUCCAAACACGAUGCAGUUCGAGUCUCAGAGAAAUGAGAGCGUGGGUGGGUACGAAAUGGAGAGGCCACCAACUGGGCCUCUAACUCCUUGGCCCAAAUGGCCCAAAUAGGGUGGCU
This 6216-nucleotide long non-coding RNA is filed under the name Vigna radiata. Its description in RNAcentral is "long non-coding RNA (VRAD_LNC001331)". The record is from RNAcentral. Lineage: Eukaryota; Viridiplantae; Streptophyta; Magnoliopsida; Fabales; Fabaceae.